GUCGAGGAGGACGGGAGUGACAGGUAAGUGUCAGGGCACUUCCCAGCACUUACUGCACACUAUGCACACACUGCAUUCACUAUACACACACACUAUGCACACACUAUAAACACUGCACACACUAUAAACACUACACACACUGCAUUCACUAUACACACACUGCACACACUGCACUCACUAUACACACACUGCACUCACUAUA
This is a non-coding RNA of Pelobates cultripes (western spadefoot toad), 202 nucleotides long. Lineage: Eukaryota; Metazoa; Chordata; Amphibia; Anura; Pelobatidae. The record is from the annotation of a GenBank genome assembly.